UGCAGUCAAGUCAAAUUCAGUCCCCAUAUCUGUCAUAGUGGGUACUGGCCCAGAUGACUGCCACAGUAAACUCUGUAGCUCCAAAGCCCUGAGUCCCCUGCCCCUGGGACCCAGGGAUAAGUUUGGCUAUGGACAUUG
Molecule: small nucleolar RNA, 138 nt
Organism: Nycticebus coucang (slow loris)
Lineage: Eukaryota; Metazoa; Chordata; Mammalia; Primates; Lorisidae
Product: small nucleolar RNA SNORA5
Exons: 1
Source: RefSeq, a predicted model, not a curated record